Molecule: ribosomal RNA, 255 nt
Filed under: uncultured bacterium
Lineage: Bacteria
Description: partial 16S ribosomal RNA
Rfam family: Bacterial small subunit ribosomal RNA
Source: RNAcentral
CGUAGGGUGCGAGCGUUAAUCGGAAUUACUGGGCGUAAAAGCGUGCGCAGGCGGUUAUGCAAGACAGAUGUGAAAUCCCCGGGCUCAACCUGGGAACUGCAUUUGUGACUGCAUAGCUGGAGUACGGUAGAGGGGGGAUGGAAUUCCGCGUGUAGCAGUGAAAUGCGUAGAUAUGCGGAGGAACACCGAUGGCGAAGGCAAUCCCCUGGACCUGUACUGACGCUCAUGCACGAAGCGUGGAGAGCAAACAGGAUU